This is a non-coding RNA of Neoarius graeffei (lesser salmon catfish), 73 nucleotides long. NCBI's taxonomy places the organism in Eukaryota, Metazoa, Chordata, Actinopteri, Siluriformes, Ariidae. The record is from the annotation of a RefSeq genome assembly.
GCCUUGUUAGCGCAGUAAGUAGCGUGUCAGUCCUAUAAUCUGAAGGUUGUGAGUUUGAGCCUCGCACAGGGCA